Molecule: transfer RNA, 77 nt
Filed under: Bacillota bacterium
Lineage: Bacteria; Bacillati; Bacillota
Also listed under: 3 other names
Description: Firmicutes bacterium (anaerobic digester metagenome) tRNA-Pro
Rfam family: tRNA
About the family: Transfer RNA (tRNA) molecules are approximately 80 nucleotides in length. Their secondary structure includes four short double-helical elements and three loops (D, anti-codon, and T loops).
Source: RNAcentral
CGGGGCAUGGCGCAGGUUGGUAGCGCGCUUGGUUCGGGACUAAGAGGUCGGCGGUUCAAGUCCGCCUGCCCCGACCA